UCCGAUGAAGUGUGACACUGGGGCAUGAUAUUGAUACUGUGAUUCUGGUCAGGACCAGUGCUAAUAUUCAGAAAAUCUUAUGGACAGAAAGCUUUCUUCUUCCUCUGAAUUGUAUGGAUGUCCUUGAAUUUCACUGAUACUGAAAAACUAGUUUAUCACACCUCAUGGUGUAUAGAGCCAGUUAAGAGUCUUGCCGUUCAGAAAUUCGUCCCAUUGAUCUUCGGGAAGAGCACUGGUUUGACCCUUCAGUUCUCAGCCAGACUUUGGCACCACGCUGAUUGCUUCUGUGCCGUGAAAUGAAUUUGUCACAGCAGUAUUUAUAAAGAAUCUUUUCUUGAAAAUAAAAAGACAUCUUCACCCCA
Molecule: long non-coding RNA, 362 nt
Filed under: Cyanistes caeruleus (blue tit)
Lineage: Eukaryota; Metazoa; Chordata; Aves; Passeriformes; Paridae
Description: lncRNA (ENSCCEG00000023484.1)
Source: RNAcentral